GAGGCUGCGGUGUGGUUGGUGGUGAGAUGACGACCUUAGUGCUGGAUAACGGAGCUUACAACGCCAAAAUCGGUUACAGUCAUGAAAAUGUGUCGGUUAUUCCUAAUUGUCAGUUCCGGUCAAAAACAGCACGUCUUAAAACUUUUACUGCCAACCAGAUAGAUGAAAUAAAAGACCCUUCUGGACUCUUUUACAUCCUUCCUUUUCAAAAGGUAAUCCAAUUAAUUAUGUUUCAUUUCAAGCAUUGUAGACCUAAAUUUAAAGAUAAUUUUAAUUGUAUGUAAAAGGCUGUGUGUAACUUAAAUUUUAACUAUAACCUAAUUAAACCCAAAUUAAAAUUUAAUUGUUUGGGUGAAAAAACGACCAUGAUUUAGUUACUUAUUGUGAGUACUGAUUUUUACUUACAUUAAAUCUAAGUGGUAUGCACACAUUAAUUUAAGAAAAUAAGUAUAGGGAGGCAACUGUAUUUAUUGGUGUGUCUUUUGAACCUCUGACAUUUUAGUUAUUGCUUAUUUGUGAGUUUGUUCUUUAACUUUUUAAAGGAGAAAAACAUACUAACAUAAUUGGUUUGAAAUUCAUACAGCAGUAUACCUAUGUAGUAAACCUGCACGUUCUGCACAUGUAUC
This 626-nucleotide small RNA is filed under the name Pongo abelii (Sumatran orangutan). RNAcentral's name for it is "retained intron". Lineage: Eukaryota; Metazoa; Chordata; Mammalia; Primates; Hominidae. The record is from RNAcentral.